GGGGGGCUUAAUAAGGCAUUUUUUCACCAUUUGAAAAAGCAAAAAGGGGGAGGGGAGGCGUAGAAAUGCAUAUAUAUCUGGUAAUGGAUUAAAGAAGCCAAUUACAUGUAUAUUGUUGAAAGUUUCUAUUGCCUGUUUCAUACAUGAACUAUAUUUACAGGAGGAAGUAACAGUGUUCCCCUGGUGAUAAUAGAAGGAUUUAAAGCAGAACAAGCUAACAAUGGUGCUCAGCCAGCUGCAAAGAGAUCCAAGGCAGAGUCAUUGUUACCACAGGUACAUGCCACAAAAUCAAUAUCCACAUCUCAAACUGUCAUACAAAAUUUCCUCACAGCUUUCAAAUGUUACGAGUUACUGAAUUCCUCAACAGAAUUACAGAGAGAGUUUGUUAUAUUGUGCAAUAACUGGAGAAUGGAGACAUGGAGUUGGAUGGGACAUUUCCAAACUGAUAUGUUUCUUUAUCAGG
This is a long non-coding RNA of Ruditapes philippinarum (Manila clam), 463 nucleotides long. RefSeq lists it as uncharacterized. NCBI's taxonomy places the organism in Eukaryota, Metazoa, Mollusca, Bivalvia, Venerida, Veneridae. The record is from RefSeq and is a predicted model, not a curated record. The transcript has 3 exons.